Apis mellifera (honey bee) is the source of this 75-nucleotide non-coding RNA. NCBI's taxonomy places the organism in Eukaryota, Metazoa, Arthropoda, Insecta, Hymenoptera, Apidae. The record is from RefSeq and is marked provisional.
UGCGUGGCGGCGGCGGCGGCGGCCUGGCCGAUGGUGGACCACCCUCGGCUUCGUCCUCGUCGUCGUCGACGAUGC